CCUCCACCAACUUUUCACUUUUUAUCUAUAAUUUUUGACUCUUUGUUUUAUUUAAAUUUUUUUACGAUUGAUAUUUUUGUUUUUAUUAGAUAAUAAAUCAUGAAUAGUACUGUACGUGUGACUAUUUUUUUUCUAAUUUUCUGAAAUUUUUUCAAAUAAGACGAAUGGUUAAAUGUUUGACACAAAAAUCGAAG
This 194-nucleotide microRNA precursor is filed under the name Oryza brachyantha (malo sina). RNAcentral describes it as "MIR812 microRNA precursor family". The stretch from base 27 to 194 matches the Rfam family "MIR812 microRNA precursor family", at positions 27 to 193 of the family's 205-position model. The record is from Rfam by way of RNAcentral. Lineage: Eukaryota; Viridiplantae; Streptophyta; Magnoliopsida; Poales; Poaceae.